GAUGAACGCUGGCGGCGUGCCUAAUACAUGCAAGUCGAGCGAACGGACGAGGAGCUUGCUCCUCUGACGUUAGCGGCGGACGGGUGAGUAACACGUGGAUAACCUACCUAUAAGACUGGGAUAACUUCGGGAAACCGGAGCUAAUACCGGAUAAUAUAUUGAACCGCAUGGUUCAAUAGUGAAAGACGGUUUUGCUGUCACUUAUAGAUGGAUCCGCGCUGCAUUAGCUAGUUGGUAAGGUAACGGCUUACCAAGGCAACGAUGCAUAGCCGACCUGAGAGGGUGAUCGGCCACACUGGAACUGAGACACGGUCCAGACUCCUACGGGAGGCAGCAGUAGGGAAUCUUCCGCAAUGGGCGAAAGCCUGACGGAGCAACGCCGCGUGAGUGAUGAAGGUCUUCGGAUCGUAAAACUCUGUUAUUAGGGAAGAACAAAUGUGUAAGUAACUGUGCACAUCUUGACGGUACCUAAUCAGAAAGCCACGGCUAACUACGUG
This 497-nucleotide ribosomal RNA is filed under the name uncultured bacterium. RNAcentral's name for it is "partial 16S ribosomal RNA". It matches the Rfam family "Bacterial small subunit ribosomal RNA", at positions 28 to 507 of the family's 1533-position model. The record is from RNAcentral.